GACGAACGCUGGCGGCGUGCUUAACACAUGCGAGUCGAACGGAAAGGCCCUGCUUUUGUGGGGUGCUCGAGUGGCGAACGGGUGAGUAACACGUGAGUAAGCUGCCCUUGACUUUGGGAUAACUUCAGGAAACUGGGGCUAAUACCGGAUAGGAGCUCCUGCUGCAUGGUGGGGGUUGGAAAGUUUCGGCGGUUGGGGAUGGACUCGCGGCUUAUCAGCUUGUUGGUGGGGUAGUGGCUUACCAAGGCUUUGACGGGUAGCCGGCCUGAGAGGGUGACCGGCCACAUUGGGACUGAGAUACGGCCCAGACUCCUACGGGAGGCAGCAGUGGGGAAUAUUGCACAAUGGGCGGAAGCCUGAUGCAGCAACGCCGCGUGCGGGAUGACGGCCUUCGGGUUGUAAACCGCUUUCGCCUGUGACGAAGCGUGAGUGACGGUAAUGGGUAAAGAAGCACCGGCUAACUACGUG
Molecule: ribosomal RNA, 468 nt
Filed under: uncultured bacterium
Lineage: Bacteria
Description: partial 16S ribosomal RNA
Rfam family: Bacterial small subunit ribosomal RNA
Source: RNAcentral